RNAcentral lists this unclassified non-coding RNA (310 nucleotides) under uncultured Inocybe. RNAcentral describes it as "sequence contains ITS2". The stretch from base 1 to 52 matches the Rfam family "5.8S ribosomal RNA", at positions 103 to 154 of the family's 154-position model. Lineage: Eukaryota; Fungi; Basidiomycota; Agaricomycetes; Agaricales; Cortinariaceae. The record is from RNAcentral.
AACGCAUCUUGCGCUCCUUGGUAUUCCGAGGAGCAUGCCUGUUUGAGUGUCAUUUGAGUUAUCAAAACCAUGCUGAUUUUAUCGUCAUGCAUGGCUUUGGAUAUGGGGGUUUUCUCUUUGCAGGCUUCUGAAAAAUGAGGCCGGCUCCCCUGAAAUGCAUUAGUGGUAUCUGAGCAGAGACUACUUACAGGUGUGAUAAAUCAUCUAUCUAUGCCUCGGUAUGCUGCAUGAAACAGAUUGCACCGCUUAUAACCAGUGGAAAUUUGACAAGUUUGACCUCAAAUCAGGUAGGACUACCCGCUGAACUUAA